ACUCCUACGGGAGGCAGCAGUGGGGGAAUAUUGGACAAUGGGCGAAAGCCUGAUCCAGCCAUGCCGCGUGUGUGAAGAAGGUCUUCGGAUUGUAAAGCACUUUAAGUUGGGAGGAAGGGCAGUUACCUAAUACGUAAUUGUUUUGUACGUUACCGACAGAAUAAGCACCGGCUAACUCUGUGCCAGCAGCCGCGGUAAUACAGAGGGGUGCAAGCGUUAAUCGGAAUUACUGGGCGUAAAGCGCGCGUAGGUGGUUUGUUAAGUUGGAUGUGAAAUCCCCGGGGCUCAACCUGGGGAACUGCAUUCAAAACUGACUGACUAGAGUAUGGUAGAGGGUGGUGGAAUUUCCUGUGUAGCGGUGAAAUGCGUAGAUAUAGGAAGGAACACCAGUGGCGAAGGCGACCACCUGGACUAAUACUGACACUGAGGUGCGAAAGCGUGGGGAGCAAACA
This 452-nucleotide ribosomal RNA is filed under the name uncultured bacterium. Its description in RNAcentral is "bacterial SSU rRNA". It matches the Rfam family "Bacterial small subunit ribosomal RNA", at positions 335 to 774 of the family's 1533-position model. The record is from RNAcentral.